RNAcentral lists this ribosomal RNA (420 nucleotides) under uncultured Barnesiella sp. RNAcentral describes it as "bacterial SSU rRNA". It matches the Rfam family "Bacterial small subunit ribosomal RNA", at positions 355 to 773 of the family's 1533-position model. Lineage: Bacteria; Pseudomonadati; Bacteroidota; Bacteroidia; Bacteroidales; Barnesiellaceae. The record is from RNAcentral.
UGAGGAAUAUUGGUCAAUGGGCGCAGGCCUGAACCAGCCAAGUCGCGUGAGGGAAGACGGUCCUACGGAUUGUAAACCUCUUUUGUCGGGGAGUAACGUGCGGGACGGGUCCCGUAUUGAGAGUACCCGAAGAAAAAGCAUCGGCUAACUCCGUGCCAGCAGCCGCGGUAAUACGGAGGAUGCGAGCGUUAUCCGGAUUUAUUGGGUUUAAAGGGUGCGUAGGCGGAAAGUUAAGUCAGCGGUAAAAUCGAGAGGCUCAACCUCUUUCAGCCGUUGAAACUGGUUUUCUAGAGUGAGUGAGAAGUACGCGGAAUGCGAGGUGUAGCGGUGAAAUGCAUAGAUAUCACGCAGAACUCCAAUUGCGAAGGCAGCGUACCGGCACUCAACUGACGCUGAAGCACGAAAGCGUGGGGAUCGAAC